Molecule: non-coding RNA, 438 nt
Organism: Mauremys mutica (yellowpond turtle)
Lineage: Eukaryota; Metazoa; Chordata; Testudines; Geoemydidae
Source: the annotation of a RefSeq genome assembly
AUGAGGCUUUACUUGUAUCUCGUUCUCAUUGCAGCAGCGUUUGAAGGUGUCCGGUCCCAGGUGCAGCUGGUGGAGUCCGGAGGGGAUGUGAAAAAGCCCGGAGACUCUCUCCGCCUCUCCUGCAAAGCCUCCGGCUUCACCAUCCGCAGCUACGAGAUGAGCUGGGUCCGGCAGGCUCCCGGGAAGGGGCUGGAGUGGGUCGCCUACAUUUACAGCACCAGCAUAUACUACAGUGACUCGGUAAAAGGCCGAUUCACCGUCUCCAGAGAUGACCCCAACAGCCUGUUGUACCUGCAAAUGACCGGCCUGAAGCCCGAGGACACCGCCCGCUAUUACUGUGUCCAGUCCCAGGCGCUGGUGGAGUCCGGAGGGGAUGUGAAAAAGUCCGGAGACUCUCUUCACCUCUCCUGCAAAGCCUCUGGGUUCACCGUCGGAUAG